RNAcentral lists this long non-coding RNA (660 nucleotides) under Androctonus crassicauda. Lineage: Eukaryota; Metazoa; Arthropoda; Arachnida; Scorpiones; Buthidae. The record is from RNAcentral.
GUGUACUCGCAUACUCUCACUCACACUUUUUAACCAUGAUUUACAAGAAUGAAAUGUUCAUAAAAAUAUAUUCAUAAAUCAAAUUCUCAUAAAUCAGACAGUAACUUCCUACUGAUAUAAAUGAAAAAAUUAUGAUUCUUGAUUCCAAAUAUAUUAUUCAUUUUUCACUAAAAACAUCAUGAACUACCAUUUACUUAUAUAAACGAUGGCAAAAUUACAUCAAAUAAUUGUAAUAAUACAACCUAGAAAAACAAUUAUCUUUAAAAAAAUCCAUAAUAAACCAAUGCAUAGUAUAGAAAUGAUACAUAAACUUCCUUCUAUGCAGCCAUAUAAUAAAGUUGUAAUAUGCUAUUUGAAAAAUCUAGAUACAGUUUCAAUCCCAUAUUUGACAUUUUUAAAAGAUGUGGAUCCAGCCUGUCAGUCUUGAUUCUUGAAGACUUAUUGGCUAAUUCAGUCAAGUUAUUAAAUGGCAAGAGGUCAUUCCAGGAUGUGGUAGAUUCCAGAAUGACUCUUGCCAUCUAAUAGCUUCUAAUUGAAAAAAAGAAUAAAAUACAAAAUAAAAAAUGCCUCUAAUAAAAGUCAAUUCCUAGUUGCUGUUUAGCAAUUUCAAUAAAAUAUUCUUUGCCUGAAAAUAAGUCUUCAUAAUUCACUAGGAAUAUU